GGGCCCGCACAAGCGGUGGAGUAUGUGGUUCAAUUCGACGCAACGCGAAAAACCUUACCUAGGCUUGACAUGUAGAGAAUUCCUAUGAAAGUAGGAAGUGCCCGCAAGGGAACUCUAACACAGGUGCUGCAUGGCUGUCGUCAGCUCGUGUCGUGAGAUGUUGGGUUAAGUCCCGCAACGAGCGCAACCCUCGUCUCUAGUUGCUACCAGUUCGGCUGAGCACUCUAGAGAGACCGCCGGUGUUAAACCGGAGGAAGGUGAGGAUGACGUCAAGUCCUCAUGGCCUUUAUGCCUAGGGCUACACACGUACUACAAUGGAUGUUACAAAGGGUUGCCAACCAGCAAUGGGGAGCUAAUCCCAAAAAAGCAUCCCAAGUUCAGAUCGGCCUCUGCAACUCGAGACCGUGAAGCCGGAAUCGCUAGUAAUCGCAGAUCAGCAUGCUGUGGUGAAUACGUUCCCGGGCCUU
This 467-nucleotide ribosomal RNA is filed under the name uncultured bacterium. Its description in RNAcentral is "bacterial SSU rRNA". It matches the Rfam family "Bacterial small subunit ribosomal RNA", at positions 917 to 1382 of the family's 1533-position model. The record is from RNAcentral.